UAUCAAAAGUCAAGUCGGGGGCUGUAAAGCUCUCGUCUACACCCAUGUCUUUUGCGUACUCUUGUUUCCUCGGUGGCGCAAGCUGCCGAUUGGACAAACCAAAACCUUUUUUGUAAUUGCAAUCAGCGUCUGAAAAUAAUCUAAUUAUUUACAACUUUCAACAACGGAUCUCUUGGUUCUGGCAUCGAUGAAGAACGCAGCGAAAUGCGAUAAGUAGUGUGAAUUGCAGAAUUCAGUGAAUCAUCGAAUCUUUGAACGCACAUUGCGCCCCUUGGUAUUCCAUGGGGCAUGCCUGUUCGAGCGUCAUUUGUACCCUCAAGCUUUGCUUGGUGUUGGGCGUCUUGUCGUAUUACGACUCGCCUUAAAUUUAUUGGCAGCCGGCACUUUGGCCUAGGAGCGCAGCACAUUUUGCGAUCGUAGCCCGUUGUACUGGCGUCCAUCAAGAACAUUUACCACGUUUGACCUCGGAUCAGGUAGGGAUACCCGCUGA
This 490-nucleotide ribosomal RNA is filed under the name uncultured Setophoma. RNAcentral describes it as "eukaryotic LSU rRNA". The stretch from base 153 to 306 matches the Rfam family "5.8S ribosomal RNA". The record is from RNAcentral. Lineage: Eukaryota; Fungi; Ascomycota; Dothideomycetes; Pleosporales; Phaeosphaeriaceae.